GCGGUUCCGGUUCCCGCCCGCGCGCACCUCAGUGUGCACACCGCGCGCAAGCCUGACAGGCGAGAGACAGUGGCGACCCGGCGACC
Streptosporangium roseum DSM 43021 is the source of this 86-nucleotide regulatory RNA element. It matches the Rfam family "L31-Actinobacteria ribosomal protein leader". The record is from Rfam. NCBI's taxonomy places the organism in Bacteria, Bacillati, Actinomycetota, Actinomycetes, Streptosporangiales, Streptosporangiaceae.